UACGAAGGGGGCUAGCGUUGCUCGGAAUCACUGGGCGUAAAGGGUGCGUAGGCGGGUCUUUAAGUCAGGGGUGAAAUCCUGGAGCUCAACUCCAGAACUGCCUUUGAUACUGAAGAUCUUGAGUCCGGGAGAGGUGAGUGGAACUGCGAGUGUAGAGGUGAGAUUCGUAGAUAUUCGCAAGAACACCAGUGGCGAAGGCGGCUCACUGGCCCGGUACUGACGCUGAGGCACGAAAGCGUGGGGAGCAGACAGG
RNAcentral lists this ribosomal RNA (253 nucleotides) under uncultured bacterium. RNAcentral describes it as "partial 16S ribosomal RNA". It matches the Rfam family "Bacterial small subunit ribosomal RNA", at positions 524 to 776 of the family's 1533-position model. The record is from RNAcentral.